GCCUGAGUGGCUCAGUCGGUUGAGCGUCCGACUUCAGCUCAGGUCACGAUCUCACGGUUUGUGAGUUCGAGCCCCGCGUCGGGCU
RNAcentral lists this transfer RNA (85 nucleotides) under Felis catus (domestic cat). It matches the Rfam family "tRNA". Rfam says of the family: Transfer RNA (tRNA) molecules are approximately 80 nucleotides in length. Lineage: Eukaryota; Metazoa; Chordata; Mammalia; Carnivora; Felidae. The record is from Rfam by way of RNAcentral.